GCUGCUCAAAAGGAUAAGAUAUUUGGCAGAGGCUCAGAAUUCAAGCUCUCAAUCUUUCCUCCUCCCCCUCCGGCUAUAUGAUCAAGAUUGAUUUUACCAUUGACAGGGACUGAUGUAGGCUGGCUGGCUUGAAAAACUGUUGCACUUCAAUUUGUUCUUCGCAUUGUUAUCUUGAACUGUUUCUCUUCUUCAAAUAAUCGAGCAUAUUCGCUCAGAUUGUAAUAAAUGCUGCACUUGAUUCGGUUCAUAUGUUGAACCGCAAAACUUUGCGUUGUGGUGUAGCUUGUGUUAUUUGAUUGUUCAGUAUGGAAUCUCAGUUCGUUCAUUGUGUCAGGUGAGAUCAAAUAAUUUAUCGUUACAUCCUAAUUUGUAUGGUGUUCAUUGAGCACAUUCUGAACAAUUCUGAUUUGGAGCUAUGUAUAUAGUCUUGACUUAA
Non-coding RNA from Salvia hispanica, 436 nucleotides. Lineage: Eukaryota; Viridiplantae; Streptophyta; Magnoliopsida; Lamiales; Lamiaceae. The record is from RefSeq and is a predicted model, not a curated record.